AGAUUGAACGCUGGCGGCAUGCCUUACACAUGCAAGUCGAACGGUAGAGUAGCAAUACUUGAGAGUGGCGAACGGGUGAGUAAUAUAUCGGAACGUGCCCAGUCGUGGGGGAUAACGUAGAGAAAUUUACGCUAAUACCGCAUACGAUCUAAGGAUGAAAGCGGGGGACCGUAAGGCCUCGCGCGAUUGGAGCGGCUGAUAUCAGAUUAGGUUGUUGGUGAGGUAAAAGCUCACCAAGCCGACGAUCUGUAGCUGGUUUGAGAGAACGACCAGCCACACUGGGACUGAGACACGGCCCAGACUCCUACGGGAGGCAGCAGUGGGGAAUUUGGACAAUGGGCGAAAGGCCUGAUCCAGCAAUGCCGCGUGCAGGAAGAAGGCCUUCGGGUUGUAAACGUAGCUUUUGUACGGAACGAAACGGUCCGUAGCUUUAAUACAGUGGCUAAUGACGGUACCGUAAGAAUAAGACACCGGCUAACUACGUGCCAGCAGCCGCGGUAA
This 501-nucleotide ribosomal RNA is filed under the name uncultured soil bacterium. RNAcentral describes it as "bacterial SSU rRNA". It matches the Rfam family "Bacterial small subunit ribosomal RNA", at positions 26 to 523 of the family's 1533-position model. The record is from RNAcentral.